CUCGUAGGCGGUUUGUCGCGUCUGCUGUGAAAGCCCGAGGCUCAACCUCGGGUCUGCAGUGGGUACGGGCAGGCUAGAGUGCGGUAGGGGAGAUUGGAAUUCCUGGUGUAGCGGUGGAAUGCGCAGAUAUCAGGAGGAACACCGAUGGCGAAGGCAGAUCUCUGGGCCGUUACUGACGCUGAGGAGCGAAAGCAUGGGGAGCGAACA
RNAcentral lists this ribosomal RNA (207 nucleotides) under uncultured bacterium. RNAcentral describes it as "partial 16S ribosomal RNA". It matches the Rfam family "Bacterial small subunit ribosomal RNA", at positions 568 to 774 of the family's 1533-position model. The record is from RNAcentral.